GCUUCCAGAGUUCUAGCUCUUAGAACUCGACUAGCCCUGUAUCGGUCAGGUUUCUCCAAGAACUUGACUCGACCCUCUUAGAUCUUCCUUUGAACUCCUGAUUCUCUUUUUUUUAUGACCUUUUCAAUCUUUUUUUGGACCAGAUAAGGUUUUGUCUUAAAUCCCAAAACUUUGUCCUCAAACUAAGAUGAGUUAUAAGAAAGAAGGGAGAGAA
RNAcentral lists this long non-coding RNA (214 nucleotides) under Elaeis guineensis (African oil palm). RNAcentral describes it as "long non-coding RNA (EGUI_LNC073970)". The record is from RNAcentral. Lineage: Eukaryota; Viridiplantae; Streptophyta; Magnoliopsida; Arecales; Arecaceae.